ACGAACGCUGGCGGCGUGCUUAACACAUGCAAGUCGAACGGAAAGGCCCUUCGGGGUACUCGAGUGGCGAACGGGUGAGUAACACGUGGGUGAUCUGCCCUGCACUUCGGGAUAAGCCUGGGAAACUGGGUCUAAUACCGGAUAUACCUCGCUGGAUGCAUGUCUGGUGGGGGAAAGCUUUUGCGGUGUGGGAUGGGCCCGCGGCCUAUCAGCUUGUUGGUGGGGUGAUGGCCUACCAAGGCGUCGACGGGUAGCCG
This 257-nucleotide ribosomal RNA is filed under the name Mycobacterium sp. ISO932_OTU31. Its description in RNAcentral is "partial 16S ribosomal RNA". It matches the Rfam family "Bacterial small subunit ribosomal RNA", at positions 29 to 289 of the family's 1533-position model. Lineage: Bacteria; Bacillati; Actinomycetota; Actinomycetes; Mycobacteriales; Mycobacteriaceae. The record is from RNAcentral.